CAUUCAGUGCUACUUUGGCUUUUUUUUAUUAUUUAUAUACCUGUUAAUACACCCUCCUUGUUCUCAAUAUGGCCCUGAACACUGUGAGCCCUAGAUGUAACUUAUAUUCUCAAAUACUUAUGUGGCUUGGCAUUCAUACAGAAUCUGUCUGAAUUGGUAAAAAUACUCAGAUUAUUUGUUCAAAAAUAGCCAGUGCACUCUGGAAGGCCGAGGACGGCAGAUCACCUGAGGUCAGGAGUUUGAGAUCAGCCUGGCCAACAUGGUGAAACCCUGUCUCUCUUAAAAAUAUGAAAAUUAGCCCAGUAUGGUGGCAUGCUCCUUUGGUCCCAGGUAUCCCAGGUACUCGGGAGGCUGAGGCAGGAGAAUUGCUUGAACCCAGGAGGCAGAGGCUGCAGUGAGCCGAGAUCAUGC
Molecule: long non-coding RNA, 411 nt
Filed under: Pan troglodytes (chimpanzee)
Lineage: Eukaryota; Metazoa; Chordata; Mammalia; Primates; Hominidae
Description: long non-coding RNA NONPTRT017407
Source: RNAcentral